This 89-nucleotide transfer RNA is filed under the name Pelobates cultripes (western spadefoot toad). RNAcentral describes it as "tRNA.Tyr". Lineage: Eukaryota; Metazoa; Chordata; Amphibia; Anura; Pelobatidae. The record is from RNAcentral.
CCUUCGAUAUCUCCGCUGGUAGUGCGGAGGACUGUAGAUGGUAUAUGUUAGCAAUCCUUGUGUCACUGGUUCAAUUCCGGCUCGAAUGA